GAUGAACGCUGGCGGCGUGCUUAACACAUGCAAGUCGAACGGGAAGGCCCUGCUUUUGUGGGGUGCUCGAGUGGCGAACGGGUGAGUAACACGUGAGUAAUCUGCCCUGGACUUUGGGAUAACUUCAGGAAACUGGGGCUAAUACCGGAUAGGAGCUCCUGCUGCAUGGCGGGGGUUGGAAAGUUUCGGCGGUUGGGGAUGGACUCGCGGCUUAUCAGCUUGUUGGUGGGGUAGUGGCUUACCAAGGCUUUGGCGGGUAGCCGGCCUGAGAGGGUGACCGGCCACGUUGGGACUGAGAUACGGCCCAGACUCCUACGGGAGGCAGCAGUGGGGAAUAGUGCACAAUGGGCGGAAGCCUGAUGCAGCAACGCCGCGUGCGGGAUGACGGCCUUCGGGUUGUAAACCGCUUUCGCCUGUGACGAAGCGUGAGUGACGGUAAUGGGUAAAGAAGCACCGGCUAACUACGUG
RNAcentral lists this ribosomal RNA (468 nucleotides) under uncultured bacterium. RNAcentral's name for it is "partial 16S ribosomal RNA". It matches the Rfam family "Bacterial small subunit ribosomal RNA", at positions 28 to 507 of the family's 1533-position model. The record is from RNAcentral.